GUCUGACGGAGCACGCCGCGUGAGCGAUGAAGGCCUUCGGGUCGUAAAGCUCUGUUGUUAGGGAAGAAUAAGUGCUAGUUGAAUAAGCUGGCACCUUGACGGUACCUAACCAGAAAGCCACGGCUAACUACGUGCCAGCAGCCGCGGUAAUACGUAGGUGGCAAGCGUUGUCCGGAAUUAUUGGGCGUAAAGCGCGCGCAGGCGGUUUCUUAAGUCUGAUGUGAAAGCCCCCGGCUCAACCGGGGAGGGUCAUUGGAAACUGGGAAACUUGAGUGCAGAAGAGGAAAGUGGAAUUCCAAGUGUAGCGGUGAAAUGCGUAGAGAUUUGGAGGAACACCAGUGGCGAAGGCGACUUUCUGGUCUGUAACUGACGCUGAGGCGCGAAAGCGUGGGGAGCAAACAGGAUUAGAUACCCUGGUAGUCCACGCUGUAAACGAUGAGUGCUAAGUGUUAGAGGGUUUCCGCCCUUUAGUGCUGAAGUUAACGCAUUAAGCACUCCGCCUGGGGAGUACGGUCGCAAGACUGAAACUCAAAGGAAUUGACGGGGGCCCGCACAAGUGGUGGAGCAUGUGGUUUAAUUCGA
RNAcentral lists this ribosomal RNA (582 nucleotides) under Bacillus sp. (in: firmicutes). Its description in RNAcentral is "bacterial SSU rRNA". It matches the Rfam family "Bacterial small subunit ribosomal RNA", at positions 381 to 954 of the family's 1533-position model. Lineage: Bacteria; Bacillati; Bacillota; Bacilli; Caryophanales; Bacillaceae. The record is from RNAcentral.